RNAcentral lists this ribosomal RNA (445 nucleotides) under uncultured Anoxybacillus sp. RNAcentral describes it as "bacterial SSU rRNA". It matches the Rfam family "Bacterial small subunit ribosomal RNA", at positions 943 to 1382 of the family's 1533-position model. The record is from RNAcentral. Lineage: Bacteria; Bacillati; Bacillota; Bacilli; Caryophanales; Anoxybacillaceae.
GGUUUAAUUCGAAGCAACGCGAAGAACCUUACCAGGUCUUGACAUCCCUCGACAACCCGAGAGAUCGGGCGGUUCCCCCGUUCGGGGGGACAGGGUGACAGGUGGUGCAUGGUUGUCGUCAGCUCGUGUCGUGAGAUGUUGGGUUAAGUCCCGCAACGAGCGCAACCCUCGACCUUAGUUGCCAGCAUUCAGUUGGGCACUCUAAGGUGACUGCCGGCUAAAAGUCGGAGGAAGGUGGGGAUGACGUCAAAUCAUCAUGCCCCUUAUGACCUGGGCUACACACGUGCUACAAUGGGCGGUACAAAGGGUCGCGAACCCGCGAGGGGGAGCCAAUCCCAAAAAGCCGCUCUCAGUUCGGAUUGCAGGCUGCAACUCGCCUGCAUGAAGCCGGAAUCGCUAGUAACCGCAGGUCAGCUAUACUGCGGUGAAUACGUUCCCGGGGCUU